This 832-nucleotide ribosomal RNA is filed under the name human gut metagenome. Its description in RNAcentral is "bacterial SSU rRNA". It matches the Rfam family "Bacterial small subunit ribosomal RNA", at positions 525 to 1360 of the family's 1533-position model. The record is from RNAcentral.
ACGGAGGAUCCGAGCGUUAUCCGGAUUUAUUGGGUUUAAAGGGUGCGUAGGCGGCCUUUUAAGUCAGCGGUGAAAGUCUGUGGCUCAACCAUAGAAUUGCCGUUGAAACUGGGGGGCUUGAGUAUGUUUGAGGCAGGCGGAAUGCGUGGUGUAGCGGUGAAAUGCUUAGAUAUCACGCAGAACCCCGAUUGCGAAGGCAGCCUGCCAAGCCAUGACUGACGCUGAUGCACGAAAGCGUGGGGAUCAAACAGGAUUAGAUACCCUGGUAGUCCACGCAGUAAACGAUGAUCACUAGCUGUUUGCGAUACAGUGUAAGCGGCACAGCGAAAGCGUUAAGUGAUCCACCUGGGGAGUACGCCGGCAACGGUGAAACUCAAAGGAAUUGACGGGGGCCCGCACAAGCGGAGGAACAUGUGGUUUAAUUCGAUGAUACGCGAGGAACCUUACCCGGGUUUGAACGCAUUCGGACCGAGGUGGAAACACCUUUUCUAGCAAUAGCCGUUUGCGAGGUGCUGCAUGGUUGUCGUCAGCUCGUGCCGUGAGGUGUCGGCUUAAGUGCCAUAACGAGCGCAACCCUUGCCACUAGUUACUAACAGGUAAAGCUGAGGACUCUGGUGGGACUGCCAGCGUAAGCUGCGAGGAAGGCGGGGAUGACGUCAAAUCAGCACGGCCCUUACAUCCGGGGCGACACACGUGUUACAAUGGCGUGGACAAAGGGAAGCCACCUGGCGACAGGGAGCGAAUCCCCAAACCACGUCUCAGUUCGGAUCGGAGUCUGCAACCCGACUCCGUGAAGCUGGAUUCGCUAGUAAUCGCGCAUCAGCCAUGGCGC